GGGGGUUUAGCUCAUCUGGAUAGAGCAUCGGUUUUCUAAACCGAGGGUAACAGGUUCGAGUCCUGUAACCCCUACCA
Molecule: transfer RNA, 77 nt
Filed under: Porticoccaceae bacterium
Lineage: Bacteria; Pseudomonadati; Pseudomonadota; Gammaproteobacteria; Cellvibrionales; Porticoccaceae
Description: tRNA-Arg
Rfam family: tRNA
About the family: Transfer RNA (tRNA) molecules are approximately 80 nucleotides in length. Their secondary structure includes four short double-helical elements and three loops (D, anti-codon, and T loops). Further hydrogen bonds mediate the characteristic L-shaped molecular structure. tRNAs have two regions of fundamental functional importance: the anti-codon, which is responsible for specific mRNA codon recognition, and the 3' end, to which the tRNAs corresponding amino acid is attached (by aminoacyl-tRNA synthetases). tRNAs cope with the degeneracy of the genetic code in two manners: having more than one tRNA (with a specific anti-codon) for a particular amino acid; and 'wobble' base-pairing, i.e. permitting non-standard base-pairing at the 3rd anti-codon position.
Source: RNAcentral